UCUGGAGCCAGGUCUGUCUGGUUUCCUUGGCUCAAAUAGCAAUUGGCACAGACCAGUGGUAGCAGCUCAGGUCCAGGCAGAGCCUCUCAUCAGUGGAUCCUACACUGUUUCUUGAUGGAGACAAGCUUUUCCCUGAGAUGCAUCUUGUCUCAAGUGCAGAAAGCUCUCACCUCACUCAGUCCCCGAGAAAGUCCUGUUCUGCUUGCUUUUGGAACAGAAAUUACAAUUCUACAAUUAGUAAGUUAGGUACACAGACCACACAGAAGUUUUGUUUGCCUGAUUGACUUUUGAAACAAAUGCUCUGUAAAUGAGACACCCAGAACUAUGGAUUAUCCCAUUAAGUACCUAAUCAGAAUUCUCAUUGCUUUUUUUUUUUUUUAAUAAAGCUAAAAAAAAAAAAAACAAGAGAAAAUGCAACAUCUUGUCUUUUGGAAAAUAAGUUAAAUGUUUCUGUCACCAUUUAUGAUAUCCGGUAUUUAUUCUGAUUAAUACUGAUGUUUGCCAGGCUAUUCCUUUCUGGGGGAAAUGAAAACUCUCUCUACUAUGUAUUAAUAAAACCUCUUGGGUGACUUCCAAGAUGAUCCUGUUACCUGGAGCUACAUGCUAUCCAUCUUUUGAGAAAAAAAUUAGAAUGAGUUCUAUAUGAAUUAAGUAGAUAUGAAUUGGAAAUACACUACGUGCUGUCAUCCUGAA
This 693-nucleotide long non-coding RNA is filed under the name Mus musculus (house mouse). RNAcentral's name for it is "predicted gene, 47622". The record is from RNAcentral. Lineage: Eukaryota; Metazoa; Chordata; Mammalia; Rodentia; Muridae.